GUGACCCCAGGUCAGGCGGGACCACCCGCUGAGUUUAAGCAUAUCAAU
RNAcentral lists this ribosomal RNA (48 nucleotides) under Perezia purpurata. RNAcentral's name for it is "25S ribosomal RNA". RNAcentral also lists the same sequence under 1 other name. Lineage: Eukaryota; Viridiplantae; Streptophyta; Magnoliopsida; Asterales; Asteraceae. The record is from RNAcentral.